Long non-coding RNA from Herpailurus yagouaroundi (jaguarundi), 468 nucleotides. RefSeq lists it as uncharacterized. The transcript has 2 exons. The record is from RefSeq and is a predicted model, not a curated record. NCBI's taxonomy places the organism in Eukaryota, Metazoa, Chordata, Mammalia, Carnivora, Felidae.
CGCGAGACGGCCCCGCCCCCUCGAGAUCCUUCAGUGGAUGACAGGCGACUGCUGCUGUUGUGGGCUAAGAAUCCAGGAGCCUCAGAUAGUCUGUGCCUCCGAAUGCACUGAGGGACCAUCCUCCAUUCUGGACCUGCUCACCACUUACAAGUCAAGCCUCAGUCGAGGCACAUCACUCCUCCUGGUUGCCCUAACUCCUGUGUAGAGCACCACUUCCAGAGACAAGAAGAGGCUAAGCCUACAACCUCCUUUGUGGCAUCUUUAUUUUUCUGAUACAUGAACAAGGUGAACACGGUCAGAAAAAUCAGCUGCACUGAAACACUUCAGCCAGUCGUAAAACAGGGCACACAGACAUGGAGGGGUGAUGAUAGCAAUCCCAGACCAGCUUCCCCCAAAGGGCUUGUACUCCAAGCCUACAGCCAGAGGUGCUCUGGGAAGGACUGUGCAGUACAUCUCUGGUGAAGAGGG